Polypterus senegalus (gray bichir) is the source of this 520-nucleotide long non-coding RNA. RefSeq lists it as uncharacterized. Lineage: Eukaryota; Metazoa; Chordata; Cladistia; Polypteriformes; Polypteridae. The record is from RefSeq and is a predicted model, not a curated record. The transcript is spliced from 3 exons.
GUGACAUGUGCUUAUUUGUGAUUUGAACUUCAACAGACCCCACGCCUGUCGUUUAAACUGAUCACCUGAUCUGUGAUAUAAGGAGCUGGACCAGGACAAACAUCUCAGUGUCAGCACCACCAUGAGACUCGCCGCCUUGCUGCUCCCGCUGUGCCUGUGCUCUGCUGCGAUGGCUUUGCAAUCUCAAUCUCCAACCAACCCAGCAUUCAAGUUAUCUUCAGUACUUGGGGAGAUGUGCACCCAAAAGCUAAGCGGUAAGUAGAAGUGAGAUCUGCUGUGGAAAAAUUAAAGUCAGUGCCAUCCGUGAUCCAUCAGUCAUGUGGGAGACUAAAAAGGGAUUCACUCAAACAAUUCUAUCUCAUUCAACUCUCAAACAAGUCAAACCAAACUUGUCAUGUCAUGGACGUCACCUUGUGUUGUAUUUUCACAAACCUGAACCAUCAAAUCAGAAGUGGCAGAAGUAUAGAAAGUUUUUACGUAAAUGACAGUACAGAAAGCAAAUGGUAAAAACACUCGGCAC